Molecule: ribosomal RNA, 301 nt
Filed under: uncultured bacterium
Lineage: Bacteria
Description: partial 16S ribosomal RNA
Rfam family: Bacterial small subunit ribosomal RNA
Source: RNAcentral
CAGUCGCCGCGGUAAUACGUAGGUGGCGAGCGUUGUCCGGAACUAUCGGGCGUAAAGGGCUCGCAGGCGGUUUCUUAAGUCUGAUGUGAAAGCCCCCGGCUCAACCGGGGAGGGUCAUUGGAAACUGGGAAACUUGAGUGCAGAAGAGGAGAGUGGAAUUCCACGUGUAGCGGUGAAAUGCGUAGAGAUGUGGAGGAACACCAGUGGCGAAGGCGACUCUCUGGUCUGUAACUGACGCUGAGGAGCGAAAGCGUGGGGAGCGAACAGGAUUAGAUACCCCAGUAGUCCCUGUCUCUUAUAC